This 497-nucleotide ribosomal RNA is filed under the name uncultured bacterium. RNAcentral describes it as "partial 16S ribosomal RNA". It matches the Rfam family "Bacterial small subunit ribosomal RNA", at positions 28 to 507 of the family's 1533-position model. The record is from RNAcentral.
GAUGAACGCUGGCGGCGUGCCUAAUACAUGCAAGUCGGGCGAACAGACGAGGAGCUUGCUCCUCUGACGUUAGCGGCGGACGGGUGAGUAACACGUGGAUAACCUACCUAUAAGACUGGGAUAACUUCGGGAAACCGGAGCUAAUACCGGAUAAUAUAUUGAACCGCAUGGUUCAAUAGUGAAAGACGGUUUUGCUGUCACUUAUAGAUGGAUCCGCGCCGCAUUAGCUAGUUGGUAAGGUAACGGCUUACCAAGGCAACGAUGCGUAGCCGACCUGAGAGGGUGAGCGGCCAGACUGGAACCGAGACACGGUCGAGACGAAUACGGGAGGCAGCAGGAGGGAAUGUUCCGGAAUGGGCGAAAGCCGGACGGAGCAACGCAGCGUGAGUGAAGAAGGUCUUAGGAUCGUAAAACUCUGUUAGUAGGGAAGAACAUAUGUGUAAGUAACUGUGCACAUCUGGACGGGAACUAAUCAGAAAGCCACGGAGAAUUACGGG